ACGCUAGCGACGUGCCUAAGGUAUGCAAGUCGAAUGCCGAUUUAUCGGCAUGGCAGACGGCUGAGUAAUACAUGGGAAUCUACCUCAAACUCGAGAAUAGCCCAUCGAAAGGUGGUGUAAUACUCGAUAGUUCCGUUUACGGUAAAGCUCCGGCGGUUUGAGAUGAGCCCAUGUCCUAUCAGGUUGUUGGUGGGGUAAUUGCCUACCAAGCCUAUGACGGGUAGCUGGUUUGAGAGGAUGAUCAGCCAGACUGGGACUGCGAUACGGCCCAGACUCCUACGAGAGGCAGCAACUAGGAAUCAUGCGCAAUGGACGAAAGUCUGACGCUGCGACGUCGCGUGAGGGAUGAAGGUCUUCGGAUCGUAAACCUCUUUUAUCUGGGAACAAGUUCUGAGUGUACCAGAUGAAUAAGUGCCUGCCAACCACGUGCCAGAAGCAUCGGUAAUGCGUGGGGCACGAGCGUUGUCCGGAUUUACUGGGCGUAAAGAGAUGCGUAGGCGCCUUUUUAAGUCACUUGUAAAAUCUCCCCGCUCAACGGGGAAACUGCAAGUGAUACUGAAUUGGUUGAGUCAAGUAGAGGAGAGGGGAAUUCCUGGUGGAGCGGUUAAAUGCGUUGAUAUCAGGAGGAAUACCAAGUGCGAAGGCACCUCUCUGGACUUGUACUGACGCUAAGGCUCGAAAGUGUGGGGAGCAAAACGGAUUAGAUACCCGUGUAGUCCACACUGUAAACGAUCCCUGCUAGAUGUUUG
RNAcentral lists this ribosomal RNA (749 nucleotides) under uncultured organism. Its description in RNAcentral is "bacterial SSU rRNA". It matches the Rfam family "Bacterial small subunit ribosomal RNA", at positions 33 to 826 of the family's 1533-position model. The record is from RNAcentral.